Molecule: ribosomal RNA, 253 nt
Filed under: uncultured bacterium
Lineage: Bacteria
Description: partial 16S ribosomal RNA
Rfam family: Bacterial small subunit ribosomal RNA
Source: RNAcentral
UACGUAGGGUGCAAGCGUUAAUCGGAAUUACUGGGCGUAAAGGGUGCGCAGGCGGCUUGAUAAGUCAGCGGUGAAAUCCCCGGGCUCAACCUGGGAAUGGCCGAUGAUACUGUGAAGCUAGAGUGUGUCAGAGGGGGGUCGAAUUCCACGUGUAGCAGUGAAAUGCGUAGAGAUGUGGAGGAAGACCGAAGGCGAAGGCAGCCCCCUGGGAUAACACUGACGCUCAGGCACGAAAGCGUGGGGAGCAAACAGG